CGGGAAAAGCUCAAAUUUAAAAUCUGGCAGUCUUUGGCUGUCCGAGUUGUAAUCUAGAGAAGCAUUAUCCGCGCUGGACCGUGUACAAGUCUCCUGGAAUGGAGCGUCACAGAGGGUGAGAAUCCCGU
This 128-nucleotide ribosomal RNA is filed under the name Laccaria sp. RNAcentral describes it as "partial large subunit ribosomal RNA". It matches the Rfam family "Eukaryotic large subunit ribosomal RNA", at positions 99 to 224 of the family's 3401-position model. The record is from RNAcentral. Lineage: Eukaryota; Fungi; Basidiomycota; Agaricomycetes; Agaricales; Hydnangiaceae.